Molecule: long non-coding RNA, 775 nt
Organism: Monodelphis domestica (gray short-tailed opossum)
Lineage: Eukaryota; Metazoa; Chordata; Mammalia; Didelphimorphia; Didelphidae
Source: RefSeq, a predicted model, not a curated record
UCUCCCAACUCAAAGUGCAUCUCUCUCUCUCCAACUCUGAUUUCUGUAAGUCUCACCAGAAGCUUGGACCCAGAUUCCCAAGUCUAACAUAUUCUUUUGCCCCAGUGCCCUAUGCCCCGAUUACAGCCUACUUGCAUUUUUAAAACAAUAGUUUCCAGAGUGAUGUUGUCAGCAGCCCAUGACACAAAUCAUUGGUGACCAACCCUUUGGCAACCACUGUGCCUUAACACCUCUGGCAGCUUGCAGUAUGGUAGUGUGCUUCUCCAGGGAUGUACACAUAACACAGGGAACACGAGGACAAAAGCCAGGCUCUCCUGCUGACACACAAAGGUCUCAGGCUAACUCUGUCAGUCGUAUCAACAGUCAGCACCAUAGCACAAGAGAUAGUUAUAAUUACUAGCAGAGCUGUUUUUGGUUUAGCUCUUGUGAGCCUCCUGACCACCCUGGGAGGCAAGGAGGUGGUGUGAUAACCAAAGGAAGACGUGUCCAUGAUGAUGAAACUGUGGUUCUUCUGAAGUUCUGAACUACUAGGGCUGGUCUCUGCCAGACGCCUGGUCUGCAGCUGCAUGGAAGAAACAUGAAUUUUCUUGGAUUUCAGAACAUGCUACUUAACUGAUGUUUCAUCACAAAAAUUUACACUGAAAACAUAUAAAAGCAAAUAAGCAAAAGGCAAAUAAUGGACAAUACAGAAGCAUUUCAGCUUGAUUCAAUUCAACAUUCAGUAUACUCAAAGGUGAUCCAUAGUGCUUUCCACAAAUAAAAAAAUUUUAUUGUA